UACGUAGGGUGCGAGCGUUAAUCGGAAUUACUGGGCGUAAAGCGUGCGCAGGCGGUUUUGUAAGUCUGUCGUGAAAUCCCCGGGCUCAACCUGGGAAUUGCGAUGGAGACUGCAAGGCUAGAAUCUGGCAGAGGGGGGUAGAAUUCCACGUGUGAGCAGUGAAAUGCGUAGAGAUGUGGAGGAACACCGAUGGCGAAGGCAGCCCCCUGGGUCAAGAUUGACGCUCCAUGCACGAAAGCGUGGGGAGCAAACAGG
RNAcentral lists this ribosomal RNA (255 nucleotides) under uncultured bacterium. RNAcentral describes it as "partial 16S ribosomal RNA". It matches the Rfam family "Bacterial small subunit ribosomal RNA", at positions 524 to 776 of the family's 1533-position model. The record is from RNAcentral.